UACGUAGGCAGCGAGCGUUGUUCGGAUUUAUUGGGCGUAAAGGGCGUGUAGGCGGUUCGUUAAGUCUGAUGUGAAAGCCCCGGGCUCAACCCGGGAAGUGCAUUGGAAACUGGCGAACUUGAGUACGGGAGAGGGCAGUGGAAUUCCUAGUGUAGGAGUGAAAUCCGUAGAUAUUAGGAGGAACACCGGUGGCGAAGGCGGCUGCCUGGACCGAUACUGACGCUGAGACGCGAAAGCGUGGGGAGCAAACAGG
RNAcentral lists this ribosomal RNA (253 nucleotides) under uncultured bacterium. Its description in RNAcentral is "partial 16S ribosomal RNA". It matches the Rfam family "Bacterial small subunit ribosomal RNA", at positions 524 to 776 of the family's 1533-position model. The record is from RNAcentral.